AUAUGAGGGCGAUCUGGCUGUGGCACCUGUCAUCCCAUUGAUCGCCAGGGUUGAUUUGGUUGCUCUGGUUGGCAAGGCAGCUGUCCCCUUCCUCCCUCACUGCU
Molecule: small RNA, 104 nt
Filed under: Mesocricetus auratus (golden hamster)
Lineage: Eukaryota; Metazoa; Chordata; Mammalia; Rodentia; Cricetidae
Description: 7SK RNA (ENSMAUG00000007421.1)
Rfam family: 7SK RNA
About the family: 7SK was discovered as an abundant small nuclear RNA in the mid-70s but a possible function has only recently been suggested. Two independent studies have found that 7SK RNA binds the CDK9/cyclin T complex (known as elongation factor P-TEFb).
Source: RNAcentral